RNAcentral lists this non-coding RNA (97 nucleotides) under Desulfuribacillus stibiiarsenatis. Its description in RNAcentral is "SAM riboswitch aptamer (S box leader)". It matches the Rfam family "SAM riboswitch aptamer (S box leader)". From Rfam's summary of the family: The SAM riboswitch is found upstream of a number of genes which code for proteins involved in methionine or cysteine biosynthesis in Gram-positive bacteria. The SAM riboswitch acts at the level of transcription termination control. The record is from Rfam by way of RNAcentral. Lineage: Bacteria; Bacillati; Bacillota; Desulfuribacillia; Desulfuribacillales; Desulfuribacillaceae. RNAcentral also lists the same sequence under 1 other name.
CUCUUAUCCAGAGAGGUGGAGGGACUGGCCCGAUGAAACCCGGCAACCUGUAUUUAAUAUGAGGUGCUAAUUCCUGCAGUAAUCUGAUAGAUAAGAG